ACUCGCAGUGUUUUAGAAAAAUGUUUGUCAGAAAAUCAAACAAUCUGAUGCCUAUUAUCGGGUAUACCUGUUUAACAUUUCUUCGGGUAAAAGAGAGAGAGCAAACCCUUAGUAAUUGAUACUUAAAUCCGGAGAGGCUUCGCGUGCGUUAGUCAAUCACAUGAAUUAGUUAUCACUUUGUUAAAAUGACAAUGAAGAAAUGAAAAAAUACAACUGAGUAAACGAGACACAAAUAAGUUACAAAAUACAAAAAUAUUUCAACAUCCCCCCCCCCCAACUCCCACCAAAAAUUCAUGGAUCCCGUCACUUCUCCGAUGAUCAAAAACACAAGUUUUAUGGAGGAGAUAAGUGCGUUUUUUUUUCGUUUUAACAUCAAACAUUAAAAAUAUUUUUUAGAAUGCGGUUAGAUAUUGUGUAAUUAUUUUCUUAUUAUUGUUAUUAUUUAUUUUUGUCAAUAUA
This is a long non-coding RNA of Hydra vulgaris (swiftwater hydra), 459 nucleotides long. RefSeq lists it as uncharacterized. Lineage: Eukaryota; Metazoa; Cnidaria; Hydrozoa; Anthoathecata; Hydridae. The record is from RefSeq and is a predicted model, not a curated record.